GAGGCCAUAGCUCAGUGGUAGAGCGCCUGCUCAGCACGCAUGAGGUCCUGGGUUCAGUCCCCAGUCCCUCCA
This 72-nucleotide transfer RNA is filed under the name Camelus bactrianus (Bactrian camel). It matches the Rfam family "tRNA". Rfam says of the family: Transfer RNA (tRNA) molecules are approximately 80 nucleotides in length. Their secondary structure includes four short double-helical elements and three loops (D, anti-codon, and T loops). The record is from Rfam by way of RNAcentral. Lineage: Eukaryota; Metazoa; Chordata; Mammalia; Artiodactyla; Camelidae. RNAcentral also lists the same sequence under 2 other names.